This 741-nucleotide long non-coding RNA is filed under the name Ananas comosus (pineapple). RNAcentral's name for it is "long non-coding RNA (ACOM_LNC000160)". Lineage: Eukaryota; Viridiplantae; Streptophyta; Magnoliopsida; Poales; Bromeliaceae. The record is from RNAcentral.
AUUUUACAUAUAUAUAUAUAUAUAUGGUCCGGCUAUUAUACUAUUAUGAGUACAAUCGCCCUCAUACUCAUAAGUUGUUUUCGAUGAUAGAGCUUCUAAAUCGACGAUCCAUGCCGUUAAACGUUAUUUACAAUUUUUAAAAUUUCUAGAAAUCAAAUUUUAUAAUUUUUUGACAUCAUUUACCUUAUGAUCAAGAGGUUACAAAUUUGACAAUUUUUAACGGCCGGUAUGGAAUACUUGCUAGUUUAACGGUAUAAAAGAAUCGAAAUUUGUUGAAUUUUUGAUAGAAAAUUAAAUUCACUACAUAGAUAAAGAUCAAUAACUCCGAUCUUGAAUUGAAGGAUCCGAUCAUUUUUUUUUAGGACGUCGUUCGAUUUUGACCAUUCAUUUUAUGCUUACUUGAUGGACUAUAUUAUGAUUUCGAAAAUUUACGAAAUUUAUUUUCUAAAANUCUCUCUAUAUAUAUAUAUAUAUAUAUAUAUAGUCCGGUUACUAUACUUUUAUGAGUAUUGGCUCCCUUAUACUCAUAAGUUUUCGGCCUUUAGAUUUAUUCCAUGAUUAUUUCCACUCGUUAGAUCAUACUAUUCAACCAACUACCCACUCAACCUUAGGGGACCACUAUCAUUUUAAAUGGAGACCACCAUCAUUUUAACAAUACAUCCCAUUAAUCAACGGUUAAAAAUUUAUGAAUAUAAGGGGUUCUAUACUCAUAAGAGUACAGUAACUCCAGCCUCUAUAUAU